RNAcentral lists this transfer RNA (73 nucleotides) under Thermoplasmatales archaeon. RNAcentral describes it as "tRNA-Arg". It matches the Rfam family "tRNA". From Rfam's summary of the family: Transfer RNA (tRNA) molecules are approximately 80 nucleotides in length. RNAcentral also lists the same sequence under 1 other name. The record is from RNAcentral. Lineage: Archaea; Methanobacteriati; Thermoplasmatota; Thermoplasmata; Thermoplasmatales.
GGGCCUGUAGCCUAGCGGAAAAGGCGGCAGCCUUCGGAGCUGCAGAUCAAGGGUUCAAAUCCCUUCAGGCCCG